CCAGCCUGAACUGUGUAGUGAGACCCUGUCUCAAAAAGACAAAAAAACACAGGGUCUCUCUAAGUAGGUAAAUUAUCCAGGCUGGCCUCAAACUCCCAACAGUCCUCCUGCCUCAGCCUCCUGAGUGCUGGGAUGACAGGUAUGUGUCACCAUGCCUGGCUCAACUCUUUCUCCCUAAUAACUUCUGAACCUCAGUUUCCUCCUCAGUGAUCGUCCAGCCCCUCAGAACUGGGGAGACUUGGCCCGUGGGCUCAGCUCUGAGGAAUGUUGUCAUCUCGCUGUCACACGUGUGACACCUCAUUUUCUGUCCCUUCAGGCCCCCCACGGGCACCUGCAGAGCCCUCGUCCCCACCAGUGUCUGCGCCAGAGAACCCAGGCCGGGUGGCCUCUGCUGACCCUGUGGACACGGAGCCCCCUGGGGAGGCGGCUCCCGUGUCACGGGAGGCUGGGGGAGCAGGUGGGCCCCAGGCGGGCGUGCGCUCCAUCAUGAAGAGGAAGGAGGAGCCCGGAGACCCCUCAGCCCACAGGAGGAGCCUGCAGUUUGUGGGGGUCAACGGCGGGUGAGGAGCCCCCUACCCUGCAAUUCUUGUGUGUCCCUCGGGUCCUGCAGGCACAAGAAGGAAGGGACCCAGCACCCUGUUCUGCAUCUUUCAUUUUGGUUAAUUGGAUGAAUCAAACCACAUUCAGAGCCAGGACUGGCAGCGCACACCUGUCAUCCCAGCACUCGAGAGGCUGAGGCAGGAGGAUCACUGCAAGUUCAAGGCCAGCCUGGACUACGUAGAGAGACCCUGUCUCAAAAAAUAAAUAUAGAAAAGGGCUGGGGAUAUAGCUCAUCCCCACUUUCUUGUGAAGGCCCUGGGUUCAAUCCUAGUAUUUCAAAAACAUUUUUUUAAAAAAAGAGGGUCCUGUGGGACGUGGGACAUUGGUCUGAGUUAGGAAGUGCUGCAUGAGGCCCUGAGCACCCCCACCCCAUGACAUGAUCAGAGUCACAGCUAAUGUUUGUUUAUUUUUUGUUCUUUAAGACAGGGCCAGCCUCAGACACCCUCCUGCCUCAGCCUCCUGAGUGCUGGGAUCACAAGCGUGUACCACAAUGUCUGGUGGCUGAGGCUUAUUGAGCACUAUGUACCUGGUGCCACAGACACAUGUGCAGCCCCCUGUGGUCCGUGUCACCGUCAUCCCCACCUGAUUAGCAUAUGGGGACACUGAGGCCCAGGG
RNAcentral lists this long non-coding RNA (1215 nucleotides) under Chinchilla lanigera (long-tailed chinchilla). RNAcentral's name for it is "lncRNA (ENSCLAG00000024704.1)". The record is from RNAcentral. Lineage: Eukaryota; Metazoa; Chordata; Mammalia; Rodentia; Chinchillidae.